RNAcentral lists this ribosomal RNA (448 nucleotides) under uncultured bacterium. RNAcentral's name for it is "bacterial SSU rRNA". It matches the Rfam family "Bacterial small subunit ribosomal RNA", at positions 330 to 792 of the family's 1533-position model. The record is from RNAcentral.
UCCAGACUCCUACGGGAGGCAGCAGUGGGGAAUUUUGCGCAAUGGGGGAAACCCUGACGCAGCAACGCCGCGUGCGGGACGAAGGCCCUCGGGUUGUAAACCGCUUUCAGCAGGGAAGAUCCAAGACGGUACCUGCAGAAGAAGCUCCGGCUAACUACGUGCCAGCAGCCGCGGUAAUACGUAGGGGGCGAGCGUUAUCCGGAGUGACUGGGUGUAAAGAGUUGCGUAGGUGGCAUGAUAAGUAGCUAGUGAAAUCUGGUGGCUCAACCAUUCAGACUAUUAGCUAAACUGUUAAGCUCGAGACUGUUAGGGGUAACUGGAAUUUCUAGUGUAGGAGUGAAAUCCGUAGAUAUUAGAAGGAACACCGAUAGCGUAGGAAGGUUACUGGGACAGUUCUGACACUAAGGCACGAAAGCGUAGGGAGCAAACGGGAUUAGAUACCCUGGUA